UCCUUCUUAGCUCAGUUGGUAGAGCGCGUCACUAGUAUCACUCCAGGUGUAUGAUACAUGACGAGGUCAGUCGUUCAAGUCGGCUAGAAGGAA
RNAcentral lists this transfer RNA (93 nucleotides) under Lentinula boryana. RNAcentral's name for it is "tRNA-Thr". It matches the Rfam family "tRNA". From Rfam's summary of the family: Transfer RNA (tRNA) molecules are approximately 80 nucleotides in length. Their secondary structure includes four short double-helical elements and three loops (D, anti-codon, and T loops). The record is from RNAcentral. Lineage: Eukaryota; Fungi; Basidiomycota; Agaricomycetes; Agaricales; Omphalotaceae.